This is a long non-coding RNA of Thunnus maccoyii (southern bluefin tuna), 1438 nucleotides long. RefSeq lists it as uncharacterized. The record is from RefSeq and is a predicted model, not a curated record. The transcript has 3 exons. NCBI's taxonomy places the organism in Eukaryota, Metazoa, Chordata, Actinopteri, Scombriformes, Scombridae.
GAGAUGGUGAGGACGUGGCUCCGUGCUGUGCGGUGCUGAAUUUUGGGACCCAGCAGUCUGCACAAGUAUCGGAUGCCAUCACCGGAAAAUCGGUACCUCUCAUGCAGGUAAUCAUCUGGAAACUAACGGUUCUGACCUGUCCCGUAACACUCUCACAUCGGAAAGCCCUUCUCAGUAUAAGUGCUUCCUCAUCCAACACGUCAUCUAAAAAAGGGCAUGCCAUUGUGAAGGAAGAAACACAAUGGCAUGAAUGGGACUUUAUAUAUUGCCUUGUCAUUGACUUAAUUGAAACCAUCUCUGCAACCUCAUCAGCCAUUUCUAAUCAUCUCAAAGGUGUGCAAUAAUAUACAUAUUCAUCAAACCUCGGACAGCAAUAUGAACAGUAGGCCUAACAGUAAUAAUGACUAUCACAUGAAUAAUUAUAAAAAUGAUAAUGGUUACAAUUAAAAUAACAGUGGACCUACUUAAAGGUCCAGUGUGUAAUAUGUGUGGUAUUUAGCAGCCUCUAACGGUGAGGUUCUAGAUUGAAGCACUCCGCCGCUCACCCCUCUCCUCCCUGAGACUUUGGAGAGAUUCCAGAAGCUACGGUGGCCUUCAAGGACAAGAAGCUAUUUGCUGAAGAUGUCAUCGUCCACGACACUCCGAGCAUUUCUAACAAGUCAAGUGAUGAGAGUCAAGUACCGGAGGUUAGAGGGAGAGGAAGAGGGUGAGUUAGCAGUGCUUUUGCAGGCAGGGCCAGGCGAGGGAGGAGAGCAAACACCGGCACCGCAGAAGCAAGGGAAGAGGCUGGAAACCCCCCAAAAGGACCAAAGCAACUGAGAGACUUCUUGAAGAGAUGACCUUGGAGGAGCACAGGCAGCUCACUAGUGAACUGCUUCAGAGGCAGCCAGGGUUAAUUUUUGAUGCCUUGAUGAUGCAUCAGUGCAGGCAUGGUGUCCCACCGUUUGCUGGAGUGCCAGGGGUACCAUGGUGUACUUGUAGUAACUGUACAGACAUGCCUACAGACCGGGAGAGGAAAUGCUGUGGCCAGUACCCUGCAGAUUGUGUGAGCCUAAUACCGCACUUCUCCCAGUACUGUCUUGAAAAUGCUUUUUAUGCAUUCACAGCCAGUACUGGGAGGACAUUAUGGUAUUUGGCCAAACCAGGAAGCCUGGGGAUGACAACGGGGAGUACCGUUAUGCUGCCUAUAGAUAUUUCAUCUAUUGACAGCAUGGCUCUUUAGGCCAGGGAAACCGACUUGUCAUCCCCAGUUGCUGUGUUUGGAGGAUCAGAGACAAGUUCCCUGAUCCUCCAAAGACAUCACACUGGUUUCACACCUGUCCUCUGAGUUUCCCUCCAGCUCCUCUGGAACGUCCACACAGUAUCUCAGGUACUCACACACCUGCCUGUUCAUCAUCAAGGCAUCAAAUCAUCUCAUAUUUAUUUGUUACAUUUCUGA